UACGAAGGGGGCUAGCGUUGUUCGGAAUUACUGGGCGUAAAGCGCGCGCAGGCGGUCUUCCAAGUCAGUGGUGAAAGCCCGGAGCUCAACUCCGGAACUGCCAUUGAAACUGUAAGACUUGAGGACGAGAGAGGUGAGUGGAAUUCCCAGUGUAGAGGUGAAAUUCGUAGAUAUUGGGAAGAACACCAGUGGCGAAGGCGGCAUCACUGGCUCGUAUCUGACGCUCAGGCGCGACAGCGUGGGAUCGAAACAGG
RNAcentral lists this ribosomal RNA (254 nucleotides) under uncultured bacterium. Its description in RNAcentral is "partial 16S ribosomal RNA". It matches the Rfam family "Bacterial small subunit ribosomal RNA", at positions 524 to 776 of the family's 1533-position model. The record is from RNAcentral.